UCAAAUACCUCUGUAAAGUCAAGUCAAGUAAUAAUAAUAAAAGUUCCUUCUGGAUUUAGAACACGCUUGUUGGUGGUGACCCUAGUGAGAGGUGAUCUCUGUGGUGCAAUGUGUAAGCGUUGUAAACGUGUGACUUAAACGAAUUGUAUUUAAUCUAUGACUAGGUAAAAUUCACAAGUUAACAUGUUUUUCAGGUAAUAUUCCCAUUUUUGGAUAGUUAAAGACCUAGUCAAAAUUAUAGCUUCGCCCACAAAGUCUGGUGUUGGAACUCUGCCAAGUGUGAAGACGUAUUCUUCCAUCACGGUAAGGAUAUGUGGAUGAGAAGAACCACAACACAAUGAAGACAACAGUCAAAGGCACUGCAUGAAAACCUCAUGGAGACCCAUCUAUGUGUAUCUGUGAUUUGGAUAAUACAGAAGCUGAGGCAGGAGCUGCCUACCAAACAACUAAAUAAAAAGAAGGAUGCAUUUCGGAAGUAAGUACACUCACACCAGUUACUGUCAAAGGUGUAUAUGUCCAGUCGUACUCUUUCAACAAGAUGGGGUUACAUUCAUCUGUACCAUAUACAUUUAAUAUAAAAGAUUUAGCUUCCCAAUUAGCAACUAUAUAACUGGUUUGAGUUCAGGAUAAGGAAGCAUCACUACCCCACCUCUCUACCGCGCCACCUCAAUCCUUUCUUCACUCUUGGCUUUCUGGAGUAAUGGUCUCUCUUAAUCCAUUUCUAAUGGUUAACAGAAUGGAUGUUGGGGUUGGACACACCUGGAGUAGAAUUUUGACUCUAUUGCUUACUGAUACAUGAGAGGUUCUUGCAGUUUACUGAACUUCUUAGGCUUCUAUUUUGCCAUCUGUUAAAUGGAGAAGAUUGUAGUGCCUACCCCAUGGAGUUACUGUGAAAAAUCAGUACCUGUAAAGUACUUAGCUCAGUGCCUGGCACAUGGUGCUAAAUAGAUGUUAGCUAUUAUAUAAAAUAUAUAUUAAAAAUGGUUGUCCACUCUAGAGUAGCCUAGUGUCCCCAAUCCUAUCCCAAAAUACAGAUUCAGGAGUUUCUCCUCUGAAUUCAGUUGGCAGUCUUGUGAUCUCUGUUGGUGUUAAAAAGUCUCGAGUGUUGCUGGGAGAUGUCGCACUGAGCAGCUGAAUGAUAUAGAAGGGGAAGUCUCAUAUCCGUCCUAUGGUUAAUGGGCAGAAGAGGCUUCUGCAUAAAGUCAGGAAAAUAUUUCUGUUGGUGAAUUGAGUUGGCAGAAAUAUCUGUAUGUAGCUACCAAGUGUUCUCACUUAAAUGGUUCAUGAAAUGACCAGCUGCGUCAGUUCCCUGGCACCCCUAUGGGUCCGAGGCAUUUGAAUGUGUCUCUUAAAAAAGUCUUCCUCCAGAAUCUUUCACCGCGAAAUUUUCCAAAGAUUAUACUCUGGAAACUGUUUUGGGAGUGACACUCCAGGGGUUUGAAUCCUGGUAUCCUUUUAACUUCCCUUUCUUAACCCCAUCUGAGCCAAAGCUCAAUUUCUCCUAUUUUUUCCACAACAGGACUUAGUGAGACAUUGAGAAAGACCAGAUGUUAGCAACAAAAAAUAUGUUUACAUUCCUAGAGGAUAAAAAGAGAGUUGGGGAGGCUGUUGCUUUUCAAACCACAGCUCGUGUAUAGUUUAAGAGAAAAAGGAGACCACAAAAUCUAGAAGCAGGGUCUUCUGCUUUUUCUCUUGGUGUGGACGACAACUUGGGGCUCCCCCCUUCUCAAA
This is a long non-coding RNA of Diceros bicornis minor, 1731 nucleotides long. RefSeq lists it as uncharacterized. The record is from RefSeq and is a predicted model, not a curated record. The transcript has 3 exons. NCBI's taxonomy places the organism in Eukaryota, Metazoa, Chordata, Mammalia, Perissodactyla, Rhinocerotidae.